CCAGGCGGUGCAUACCACCUUGAUCACAUCUGAUCUUAUAUGAUCUUGGAAGAUAAGCAGGGUCAGGCCUGGUUAGUACUUGAAUGAGAGACUAGUGUAAUUUUAAUUGUCUGUU
RNAcentral lists this ribosomal RNA (115 nucleotides) under Panthera tigris altaica (Amur tiger). The record is from RNAcentral. Lineage: Eukaryota; Metazoa; Chordata; Mammalia; Carnivora; Felidae.